Molecule: non-coding RNA, 30 nt
Filed under: Rattus norvegicus (Norway rat)
Lineage: Eukaryota; Metazoa; Chordata; Mammalia; Rodentia; Muridae
Source: RNAcentral
UCAAAAGUGUUAGCACCAUUGUACAGGUUC